Molecule: ribosomal RNA, 403 nt
Filed under: uncultured bacterium
Lineage: Bacteria
Description: bacterial SSU rRNA
Rfam family: Bacterial small subunit ribosomal RNA
Source: RNAcentral
UGGGGAAUUUUACACAAUGGGCGAAAGCCUGAUGUAGCAACGCCGCGUGGAGGAUGACGGAUUUAGGUCUGUAAACUCCUUUUAUAGGGGAAGAAAUUUGACGGUACCCUAUGAAUAAGCACCGGCUAACUCCGUGCCAGCAGCCGCGGUAAUACGGGGGGUGCAAGCGUUACUCGGAAUCACUGGGCGUAAAGGGAGCGUAGGCGUUCUAUUAAGUCUUGAGUGAAAGCCUGCAGCCUAACUGCAGAACUGCUCAGGAAACUGAUAGAAUUGAGUAUGGAAGAGGUCAGUGGAAUUUCCAGUGUAGGGGUAAAAUCCGUAGAUAUUGGAAGGAAUACCAGAAGCGAAGGCGACUGACUGGGACAUUACUGACGCUGAGGCUCGAAAGCGUGGGGAGCAAACA